Drosophila pseudoobscura is the source of this 777-nucleotide long non-coding RNA. RefSeq lists it as uncharacterized. The record is from RefSeq and is a predicted model, not a curated record. The transcript is spliced from 3 exons. Lineage: Eukaryota; Metazoa; Arthropoda; Insecta; Diptera; Drosophilidae.
AGGGGAAACGGGGCAAGGCAAGGCAAGGAGCUGUUGCAAGUAGUGUCAUAGAAAAUUCGAAAUGUUUCAAUCAACAAUUCGCAUUAUUAAAUAUUAAUGGGAAACUCGAGUCGAGCUGCCUCGGACUGACCCUUUCGACCAUGCCGGCCCCAAAAAGGUCAUCAUGUGUCUGCCGCAGCAGUCCAGAAGGUCCAGAAGCUGGCAAAAGUAAUUUUGGACAUUUUUCAUCAUAAAGACAGCAUCGACUCAACCCUCUCUGUCUCUGUCUCAGUCUGUGUCUCUGUCCCUGUCCUGAGAGCCACUUCUUUGGCGGAGCUUAGAUUUCGAAUUGGAUUUGAAUUGGGAAUUUCUGGCAUUCAAGGGCCGUCGGUCGUUGGUCGUCGGUCAAGUUGGUCAACGCAUAAAUAUUUCUCUUUGUUCAAGCAUCGCAUCAGAGCCAAAAAAGAGCAUUACGGACUCGUCCGACUCGUACAUACACGUAUGCUGUGUGUGUGUGCACCUGUGCCAUCUGUCUCUCUCCGUCUCUCCGUCUCCCUCCUUCUGUCUGUCCUCCGACAGGACUACAGCACAAACAAACAAGGAGACGGGCUGGGUAGUGGAUGGCCAGAUAUGAGAAACGGUCGAAUGGUCAAGUCAAAGUUAUUGUCAUGUCAUAGGCUGUUCGUCAGGCAAGGUGCCACAAAUGGAGGUCUGCCAGGACAAGGCUAAUCAUGCUCAAGACAUGUAUUUUGUGCCAAUCUGAUUAAAGGGAUUGGAAGGAUGUUACCUUUACAGAUA